ACUGGAACGUCUCAGCCGCCUGCCACGUCAUUCCGCUCCGCUCCCACAGCGUACCGUCACACCACACGCUGCCGUCUUUCUCUUCACCACCGAGAACCACACGGCAGGACACGGACCUACUGCUCUGGACUUUUACUAAAAACUGUAUCCUGGUGGUGUGUGUUUAAAGAAAUGCCUGGGAGAGAGACAGAGAGAGGGAUACACACUCGCGCACACACACACACACACACACUCCUCUGGACUGAACUGGGCAGUGACCUGCAGCUCGGCCGGGCUGAUUUGCCCCCUCCGUUAAUGCCUCCCUCCCCCCCGCCUGCCCAGUGUUCAGACUACCUGUUCAUUACGCUGCAGCUGAACAGUAGUCCGCACAUUGGUUAGGCUGGGCCGGGACACACACACGUCAGAAAAGACGAGGCUACAACUUUUCAGCUUUGGGAUACAGGACAGGGUCUCGGCGGUCAGGACGAACCAGUACUCCUUGGAUCCUCCCUUCAUGAAGCUGAUGUUGAUGGUGAGCCAGCCUUUGCGGAUCACCUGUGCAGAGGGACGGGAAGGAAAACGUCACGGGAGACAGUCGACAUUCGGCUUUACCGAAACACACACACACAGACACAUAGAUACACGCACACACACACACACAUAUAUAUAUAUAUACACACAGGUCUCAGGCUGAGAGCAGCUGUGUGUGAAAACACUCACAGGCUCACAGUGAAAACCUGCUCACACUUACCUGCACAGGAACACGGGUCUGAACAGGGACGACAAUCUGUACUGCGGGAUUCGCAGAAUUAUUACAUGACGAUUCAUUAUGUUUUAUUAAAACUGUUCAUGAAAGUUGA
Ictalurus furcatus (blue catfish) is the source of this 839-nucleotide long non-coding RNA. RefSeq lists it as uncharacterized. The record is from RefSeq and is a predicted model, not a curated record. NCBI's taxonomy places the organism in Eukaryota, Metazoa, Chordata, Actinopteri, Siluriformes, Ictaluridae. The transcript has 3 exons.